GCUCAGCGUUACUUAGAUGAGUUGGUCCAGAGGUGUAUGGUUCAGGUAGUAGAAAGAGGCUCAACUGGAAGGAUUAGAACUUGCCGUAUGCAUGACCUUAUGCGAGACUUAUGCUUGUCAAAGGCAAAACAGGAAAAUUUUCUAGAGACUUAUUGUCAAUUGCAUGCAAAUGAUCACUCGGUUUACUCAUUUCCUUCAUCCCUGGUAAAUGAAGCAAGGUCAAUUGGUAGGCUUCGUAGACUUGCAAUCUUUUUGGAUGGAGACCUUAAAAGAUUUGUCCCCUCUCGAUACAAAAGAAAUUCCCACCUUAGAUCUCUUCUGUAUUUCCAUGAAAAACCAUGUCAUGCAGAGAAAUGGGGAUCAAUAAAAUCAGUUUUCAACAACUUUAAGUUACUCAGGGUCUUAGAUCUUGAAGGAAUUCAGAGUCAUGAUGGAAAGUUACCAAAAGAAAUUGGCAUGUUGAUCCACUUGAGAUUCUUGAGCCUGAGGGAUACUGAUAUAGAUGAAUUGCCAUUUACAAUAGGCAACUUGAGGUACUUGCAGACCCUAGACCUUUUGACUUGGAAUUCAACUGUACAAAUACCAAAUGUGAUAUGGAAGAUGCAAAGGUUGAGGCAUUUAUAUCUUCCUGAAUCCUGUGGUGAUGAUUCAGAUAAAUGGCAGUUGGCUACACUGAGCGACCUGCAGACUCUAGUGAACUUUCCUGCAGAAAAAUGUAACAUAAAAGAUCUACUAAGUCUGACCAAUCUCAAGAAACUAGUAAUAGAUGAUCCGAAAUUCGGGCUACUCUUCAAAUCACUUGGUGCUUCAUUUAACCACUUGGAGACUUUGUCCUUUGUCAGUAAUGAAGAUUCUACUGUAAUUCAAGUUAUUACAGAAAGUCCUCAUCUUUAUAAGCUGCAUAUAGAAGGC
This 912-nucleotide unclassified non-coding RNA is filed under the name Hevea brasiliensis (rubber tree). Lineage: Eukaryota; Viridiplantae; Streptophyta; Magnoliopsida; Malpighiales; Euphorbiaceae. The record is from RNAcentral.